Molecule: ribosomal RNA, 253 nt
Filed under: uncultured bacterium
Lineage: Bacteria
Description: partial 16S ribosomal RNA
Rfam family: Bacterial small subunit ribosomal RNA
Source: RNAcentral
UACGUAGGGCGCAAGCGUUGUCCGGAAUUAUUGGGCGUAAAGGGCGCGUAGGCGGCUUGAUAAGUCAAAGGUGAAAUCCCUCGGCUCAACUGAGGAACUGCCUUUGAAACUGUCAGACUUGAGGCCGGGAGGGGGUAGCGGAAUUCCCAGUGUAGCGGUGAAAUGCGUAGAUACUGGGAGGAACACCGGUGGCGAAGGCGGCUACCUGGACCGGUUCUGACGCUGAUGCGCGAAAGCGUGGGUAGCAAACAGG